ACGGGUGAGUAACACGUGGGUGAUCUGCCCUGCACUUCGGGAUAAGCCUGGGAAACUGGGUCUAAUACCGGAUAUGACCUCAGGUUGCAUGACUUGGGGUGGAAAGAUUUAUCGGUGCAGGAUGGGCCCGCGGCCUAUCAGCUUGUUGGUGGGGUAAUGGCCUACCAAGGCGACGACGGGUAGCCGACCCGAGAGGGUGACCGGCCACACUGGGACUGAGACACGGCCCAGACUCCUACGGGAGGCAGCAGUGGGGAAUAUUGCACAAUGGGCGAGAGCCUGAUGCAGCGACGCCGCGUGAGGGAUGACGGCCUUCGGGUUGUAAACCUCUUUCAGCAGGGACGAAGCGCAAGUGACGGUACCUGCAGAAGAAGCACCGGCUAACUACGUGCCAGCAGCCGCGGUAAUACGUAGGGUGCAAGCGUUGUCCGGAAUUACUGGGCGUAAAGAGUUCGUAGGCGGUUUGUCGCGUCGUUUGUGAAAACCAGCAGCUCAACUGCUGGCUUGCAGGCGAUACGGGCAGACUUGAGUACUGCAGGGGAGACUGGAAUUCCUGGUGUAGCGGUGAAAUGCGCAGA
This 578-nucleotide ribosomal RNA is filed under the name uncultured bacterium. RNAcentral describes it as "bacterial SSU rRNA". It matches the Rfam family "Bacterial small subunit ribosomal RNA", at positions 102 to 694 of the family's 1533-position model. The record is from RNAcentral.